RNAcentral lists this ribosomal RNA (450 nucleotides) under uncultured bacterium. Its description in RNAcentral is "bacterial SSU rRNA". It matches the Rfam family "Bacterial small subunit ribosomal RNA", at positions 328 to 793 of the family's 1533-position model. The record is from RNAcentral.
UUUCCAGACUCCUACGGGAGGCAGCAGUGGGGAAUAUUGGGCAAUGGGCGCAAGCCUGACCCAGCGACGCCGCGUGAGGGAAGACGGUCUUCGGAUUGUAAACCUCUUUCAGCAGGGAAGACAAAAGGACGGUACCUGCAGAAGAAGCCACGGCUAACUACGUGCCAGCAGCCGCGGUAAUACGUAGGUGGCAAGCGUUGUCCGGAUUUACUGGGUGUAAAGGGCGUGCAGCCGGAGAGACAAGUCAGAUGUGAAAUCCACGGGCUCAACCCGUGAACUGCAUUUGAAACUGUUUCCCUUGAGUGUCGGAGAGGUAAUCGGAAUUCCUUGUGUAGCGGUGAAAUGCGUAGAUAUAAGGAAGAACACCAGUGGCGAAGGCGGAUUACUGGACGAUAACUGACGGUGAGGCGCGAAAGCGUGGGGAGCAAACAGGAUUAGAUACCCCUGUAA